This 468-nucleotide ribosomal RNA is filed under the name uncultured bacterium. RNAcentral describes it as "partial 16S ribosomal RNA". It matches the Rfam family "Bacterial small subunit ribosomal RNA", at positions 28 to 507 of the family's 1533-position model. The record is from RNAcentral.
GACGAACGCUGGCGGCGUGCUUAACACAUGCAAGUCGUACGGAAAGGCCCUGCUUUUGUGGGGUGCUCGAGUGGCGAACGGGUGAGUAACACGUGAGUAACCUGCCCUUGACUUUGGGAUAACUUCAGGAAACUGGGGCUAAUACCGGAUAGGAGCUCCUGCUGCAUGGUGGGGGUUGGAAAGUUUCGGCGGUUGGGGAUGGACUCGCGGCUUAUCAGCUUGUUGGUGGGGUAGUGGCUUACCAAGGCUUUGACGGGUAGCCGGCCUGAGAGGGUGACCGGCCACAUUGGGACUGAGGUACGGCCCAGACUCCUACGGGAGGCAGCAGUGGGGAAUAUUGCACAAUGGGCGGAAGCCUGAUGCAGCAACGCCGCGUGCGGGAUGACGGCCUUCGGGUUGUAAACCGCUUUCGCCUGUGACGAAGCGUGAGUGACGGUAAUGGGUAAAGAAGCACCGGCUAACUACGUG